AUGGGGAGAAGACCUGCGAGGUGCUAUCGGCAGAUCAAGAACAAGCCGUACCCCAAGUCAAGGUACUGCCGUGGUGUGCCUGACCCUAAGAUCAGGAUCUAUGAUGUUGGCAUGAAGAAGAAGGGUGUCGACGAGUUCUCUCACUGUGUUCACCUUGUCUCAUGGGAGAAGGAGAAUGUGUCCAGUGAGGCUCUUGAGGCUGCCCGUAUUGCUUGCAAUAAGUACAUGACCAAGCAUGCAGGAAAGGAUGCCUUCCACCUCAGGGUCAGGGUUCACCCGUUCCAUGUGCUCCGUAUCAACAAGAUGCUUUCGUGUGCCGGGGCUGAUAGGCUCCAGACUGGUAUGAGGGGUGCUUUUGGGAAGCCGCAGGGAGUCUGUGCCCGUGUUGCCAUUGGGCAGGUCCUCCUUUCUGUGCGGUGCAAGCCCAACAAUGCCAUCCAUGCCACUGAGGCCCUUCGUCGUGCCAAGUUCAAGUUCCCUGGCCGCCAAAAGAUCAUUGAGAGCAGGAAGUGGGGCUUCACCAAGUUCAACCGCAACGACUACCUCAAGUUCAAGAGUGAGGGCAGGAUCUUGCCUGAUGGAGUCAACGCUAAGCUGCUCGGAUGCCAUGGCCGCCUUGCGAACCGUGCCCCUGGACAAGCUUUCCUGUCUGCCGCAUAA
RNAcentral lists this ribosomal RNA (660 nucleotides) under Triticum aestivum (bread wheat). Its description in RNAcentral is "partial small subunit ribosomal RNA". Lineage: Eukaryota; Viridiplantae; Streptophyta; Magnoliopsida; Poales; Poaceae. The record is from RNAcentral.